AUUUAGUCCUCUCUAAUGCAAAACAAUGUUCUUACCAAAUUGCUUCGCCUCGCUUGUGGACAAGAUCAAGAUUUCUAUUAUCCUAGCGUCUAACUUCAUUUAUUGAAUAGUUUGAUGCUCGAGAAACGUAGAAAAACAACU
Small nucleolar RNA from Zeugodacus cucurbitae (melon fly), 141 nucleotides. RefSeq annotates it as small nucleolar RNA psi28S-1192. Lineage: Eukaryota; Metazoa; Arthropoda; Insecta; Diptera; Tephritidae. The transcript has a single exon. The record is from RefSeq and is a predicted model, not a curated record.